This 699-nucleotide ribosomal RNA is filed under the name Salinicola sp. Its description in RNAcentral is "bacterial SSU rRNA". It matches the Rfam family "Bacterial small subunit ribosomal RNA", at positions 350 to 1041 of the family's 1533-position model. Lineage: Bacteria; Pseudomonadati; Pseudomonadota; Gammaproteobacteria; Oceanospirillales; Halomonadaceae. The record is from RNAcentral.
AGCAGUGGGGAAUAUUGGACAAUGGGCGAAAGCCUGAUCCAGCCAUGCCGCGUGUGUGAAGAAGGCUUUCGGGUUGUAAAGCACUUUCAGCGAGGAAGAAAGCCUCUGGGCCAAUACCCCAGAGGAAGGACAUCACUCGCAGAAGAAGCACCGGCUAACUCCGUGCCAGCAGCCGCGGUAAUACGGAGGGUGCGAGCGUUAAUCGGAAUUACUGGGCGUAAAGCGCGCGUAGGUGGCUUGGCACGCCGGUUGUGAAAGCCCCGGGCUCAACCUGGGAACUGCAUCCGGAACGGCCAGGCUAGAGUGCAGGAGAGGAAGGUAGAAUUCCCGGUGUAGCGGUGAAAUGCGUAGAGAUCGGGAGGAAUACCAGUGGCGAAGGCGGCCUUCUGGCCUGACACUGACACUGAGGUGCGAAAGCGUGGGUAGCAAACAGGAUUAGAUACCCUGGUAGUCCACGCCGUAAACGAUGUCGACUAGCCGUUGGGACCUUUAAGGACUUAGUGGCGCAGUUAACGCGAUAAGUCGACCGCCUGGGGAGUACGGCCGCAAGGUUAAAACUCAAAUGAAUUGACGGGGGCCCGCACAAGCGGUGGAGCAUGUGGUUUAAUUCGAUGCAACGCGAAGAACCUUACCUACCCUUGACAUCCAGAGAAGUUGGCAGAGAUGCCUUCGUGCCUUCGGGAGCUCUGAGACAGGUGC